AACGAACGCUGGCGGCGUGCCUAACACAUGCAAGUCGAGCGAUAAAGGGGAGCAACCCCUGAGUAAAGCGGCGAACGGGUGAGUAACACGUAGGUAACCUACCUAUCAGACCGGGACAACCUGUCGAAAGACGGGCUAAUACUGGAUAAGACCCCGUCUUCUUCGGAAGAUGAGGUAGAAGAUGGCCUCUACUUGUAAGCUAUCACUGAUAGAUGGGCCUGCGUAGCCAUUAGCUAGUUGGUAGGGUAAUGGCCUACCAAGGCUACGAUGGUUAGCUGAUCUUAGAGGAUGAUCGGCCACACUGGAACUGAAACACGGUCCAGACUCCUACGGGAGGCAGCAGUGGGGAAUCUUGCGCAAUGGACGAAAGUCUGACGCAGCAACGCCGCGUGGGCGAAGAAGGCCUUCGGGUCGUAAAGCCCUGUCGGAGGGGACGAAACCUUUUUUGGCUAACAUCCAAGAAAACUGACGGUACCCUCAAAGGAAGCACCGGCUAACCACGUGCCAGCCGCCGCGGUAA
Molecule: ribosomal RNA, 520 nt
Filed under: uncultured bacterium
Lineage: Bacteria
Description: partial 16S ribosomal RNA
Rfam family: Bacterial small subunit ribosomal RNA
Source: RNAcentral